This 248-nucleotide ribosomal RNA is filed under the name uncultured bacterium. RNAcentral's name for it is "partial 16S ribosomal RNA". It matches the Rfam family "Bacterial small subunit ribosomal RNA", at positions 16 to 257 of the family's 1533-position model. The record is from RNAcentral.
GACAUGGCUCAGGAUGAACGCUAGCGACAGGCUUAACACAUGCAAGUCGAGGGGCAGCGAGGGAGUGGCAACACUUCUGUCGGCGACCGGCGCACGGGUGAGUAACGCGUAUGCAACCUGCCCUUCACAGGGGGAUAACCGGGAGAAAUUCCGACUAAUACCGCAUACGUCCUCCGGGGGCGAUCCCUGGGGGAUGAAAGAAUUAUCGGUGAAGGAUGGGCAUGCGUGAUAUUAGGUAGUUGGCGGGG